UGCAUAGAUUUCUUAGUCAGUCCCUCCAGAAAAAUGUGAUUAUGCCAUCGCAUAAUUCAAUGCAUAAUCAGCCAUAUCCAUGCAUAUUCAUGCAUUGGCCGUAUUUUUUCAAAAACGCCGCACUUUCGCUGCAUAAAUUGCCAAUUUCCGCACAAAAUAAUGCAGGGCUUGCAUAAUUUCAUAAUCCCCACAUUUCCGUUGCAAAAAAGUCACAUAUAUCUCAGUAGAAAGUUG
Molecule: long non-coding RNA, 234 nt
Organism: Etheostoma cragini (Arkansas darter)
Lineage: Eukaryota; Metazoa; Chordata; Actinopteri; Perciformes; Percidae
Exons: 3
Source: RefSeq, a predicted model, not a curated record